GGGGAUUUAGCUCAGCGGUAGAGCACUUGCCUAGCAAGCGCAAGGCCCUGGGUUCGGUCCCCAGCUCCG
Non-coding RNA from Rattus norvegicus (Norway rat), 69 nucleotides. The record is from Rfam. Lineage: Eukaryota; Metazoa; Chordata; Mammalia; Rodentia; Muridae.